Molecule: ribosomal RNA, 30 nt
Filed under: Saccharomyces cerevisiae (brewer's yeast)
Lineage: Eukaryota; Fungi; Ascomycota; Saccharomycetes; Saccharomycetales; Saccharomycetaceae
Description: partial 28S ribosomal RNA
Source: RNAcentral
UGAACUUAAGCAUAUCAAAAAGCGGGAGGA